UGGCUCUCGCAUCGAUGAAGAACGCAGCGAAAUGCGAUAAGUAAUGUGAAUUGCAGAAUUCAGUGAAUCAUCGAAUCUUUGAACGCACCUUGCGCCUUUUGGUAUUCCAAAAGGCAUGCCUGUUUGAGUGUCAUGUGGACUCAACCCCAAAGGUUUUUCCUCUGGGUGUUGGACUUGGGCGCCUGCCUCUGGCUCGCCUUAAAAGCGUUAGUGGGACAACCAAAAGCCCGAUGUAAUAAGUUUCAUCUGGUCUCGAGGGGACGCCCGCUCACAACCACCAUACUUUUAUCUCUGACCUCAAAUCAGGUAGGACUACCCGCUGA
Molecule: unclassified non-coding RNA, 323 nt
Filed under: uncultured fungus
Lineage: Eukaryota; Fungi
Description: partial contains 5.8S ribosomal RNA and internal transcribed spacer 2
Rfam family: 5.8S ribosomal RNA (bases 1-133)
Source: RNAcentral